Molecule: ribosomal RNA, 636 nt
Filed under: Acrolyta sp. BFS-2018
Lineage: Eukaryota; Metazoa; Arthropoda; Insecta; Hymenoptera; Ichneumonidae
Description: SSU rRNA
Rfam family: Eukaryotic small subunit ribosomal RNA
Source: RNAcentral
GCGGUAAUUCCAGCUCCAAUAGCGUAUAUUAAAGUUGUUGCGGUUAAAAAGCUCGUAGUUGAAUCUGUGUGUCACGAUGUUGGUUCACCGCUCGCGGUGUUUAACUAGCAUGCCGUGAGACGUCCUACCGGUGGGCUUAGCUCUUCGGGGCGGUCCAACUAAUAUCCCAUCGCGGUGCUCUUCAUUGAGUGUCGAGGUGGGCCGGUACGUUUACUUUGAACAAAUUAGAGUGCUUAAAGCAGGCUAUUUUCGCCUGAAUACUGUGUGCAUGGAAUAAUGGAAUAGGACCUCGGUUCUAUUUUGUUGGUUUUCGGAACCCCGAGGUAAUGAUUAAUAGGGACAGAUGGGGGCAUUCGUAUUGCGACGUUAGAGGUGAAAUUCUUGGAUCGUCGCAAGACGGACAGAAGCGAAAGCAUUUGCCAAAAAUGUUUUCAUUAAUCAAGAACGAAAGUUAGAGGUUCGAAGGCGAUCAGAUACCGCCCUAGUUCUAACCAUAAACGAUGCCAGCUAGCGAUCCGCCGAAGUUCCUCCGAUGACUCGGCGGGCAGCUUCCGGGAAACCAAAGCUUUUGGGUUCCGGGGGAAGUAUGGUUGCAAAGCUGAAACUUAAAGGAAUUGACGGAAGGGCACCACCAGG